CGAGAUAUAUUGGUUUCUGGUGUACAACGCUUUUAGUUUACCCAACUUAGUACACGUUCAUAAAAUUCUUCGUCUUUAAUGUUUGUGAUCACGGUUGUUAUUGUGGCCCACGGUUUACAGGUUAAGACAGAUUCAUCACUUAUUUCGGGCUUUUACCAAUUAGUAUUGGCAAGUGCCAGCCUUUACCUAAACGGCUUGAUAAAAGCCCCCAAAUGGAAGCGUUUACAAGCUUUUUCGGGUAUUUACGAUAACACACAUGCCAUAUGCAUGGCUUCAUUUUUAAAAUCUUGUUCUAUUCCUUUGAGUUAUAUCAGUUUUAUGGUGAUU
This 327-nucleotide long non-coding RNA is filed under the name Androctonus crassicauda. The record is from RNAcentral. Lineage: Eukaryota; Metazoa; Arthropoda; Arachnida; Scorpiones; Buthidae.